Ornithodoros turicata is the source of this 750-nucleotide long non-coding RNA. RefSeq lists it as uncharacterized. The record is from RefSeq and is a predicted model, not a curated record. The transcript has 3 exons. Lineage: Eukaryota; Metazoa; Arthropoda; Arachnida; Ixodida; Argasidae.
CACAGUGAACGUGUCCUGGUUUUUGACUCCACCAGACUCCACCUUGGCUGAAGUUACGACAGUGGCGACCGAGCAUGGGACACUGAUAUUCGGAGACGGAGAGACUUCAGCACUGAGGACAGGAGAUUCCAUACAAGGAACGGAAACACACUGUAAAAAGUGUCCUUAUUUUACAAGACGACUUUGCAGACAAAAGUCUGCAAAAUUUUGCGGCUCGUGUCUGUAAUUGCCCUUUACCGCGUAAAAGCUGUUUUCGUGUUCCAAGAUGGCGUCUAUCGUGUGAAACGACCAGUGGGCUGACCGGCCCGCUUAUUGUACAGUUGAACGAACUUCCAGGUGGCGUUGUAUUCGCGACGCGCAGGUGGCUGCUACUUGUCGGGUGGCGAUGUUUCGCAGACGACGCUAGAACCUACAACGCCUACAACUUAGAAAGUGAAGUUUGGCACGGUGGCACUGCUCCUUCGAACUCAAUUGCGUUGGAACGACAAAUAAUUGGCUGACCGUAAACAUAGAUCUCAGAAGUGUGGACACACAAGGAAGCUCACGUUCCUCUCGCGGAUGACAGCGUGGCCCUACACGAAAGGUGAACAAAAGAACAGCGUCGUGUCAGUCUGUGGUGCACACUCAUUCUGUAUGCACUUGGUGCCUGCGUUUUCUUCUUUUUCAUUGUUUUUCUAGGGCAUAAUAUAUCCAUAUACGUACUGUGGUACACAGCUAGCUGUUCGGUAUUUUCUUUGUCUGUAUUUUCAA